AGCAGCCGUGUUAAUUCUAGCUCCAAUAGCGUAUAUUAAAGUUGUUGUAGUUAAAAGCUGUAGUUGAAUUUUAGGGUUCUACCGUUGGUUAGGCAAUAGUCUAUACUGGUGUGUAGAAUUCUACCUUCUGGGGAACUAUCAUGCUAUUUAUUUAGCGUGGUGGAAAACCAGAACCUUACCUUGAAAAAUUAGAGUAUUCAAAGCAGGCUUACGUCUGAAUAUAUUA
This 226-nucleotide ribosomal RNA is filed under the name uncultured Glomeromycotina. Its description in RNAcentral is "partial small subunit ribosomal RNA". It matches the Rfam family "Eukaryotic small subunit ribosomal RNA", at positions 569 to 806 of the family's 1831-position model. The record is from RNAcentral. Lineage: Eukaryota; Fungi; Glomeromycota.